Molecule: small RNA, 2660 nt
Filed under: Pongo abelii (Sumatran orangutan)
Lineage: Eukaryota; Metazoa; Chordata; Mammalia; Primates; Hominidae
Description: transcribed unitary pseudogene
Source: RNAcentral
AUGAAUCCGAGUUCUAACAAGCGAAAACCAAACAGAGUAACCUUUGAGCCAUCGACAUUACAAGUCUCUUGGAAGUCCAACUUACCGGGACUGCGCCAAUCAGAAAGAGAAGCCUGUGAGUUCAUAGUGGAAUUUCUAGAAGAAGAACAUAUGUCUGAGUUCACCAAGCUGAAGUUCCUGAGAGCUGUGGAAACCUUGAAUAGUGUUGUGUGUGCCCAGGCAGAUGGCAAUAUGGACGAUUACUAUCCCAAAGCCAUCCUGGCCAAGAAAAUUGAGAUACUAAUUCUUGAAGAAUCCACUGAGAUUUUGACGGGCAACAUGCGUCAGCAAGCCAUGCUCUGCAUCGUGGCGCUGAGGUGAAUCCACCAUUCCACUUGUCCAAGAAGCUGGAUCUGGUAAAUGUGGGCAUCUCCAGCCUGUUCUCUCUGCUGCCCAUUGUGCCCAGCCUGUACCGAAGAGACAAUGCGAGUCUCUACCUCCAGACGGUCCAGGCCUUAGACAACAUGUUGCAGGCUCUUGUGAUGGACAGUAUGAACCCCAACAUGCUCAUACUACAAAACUUCCUGGAGAUCGUCUUACCUUGGUCAUUACUGUCAGACAAAGUGCAUGAACAGAUGCGGGCCUUGGGCACUAUUUCCCGGUUGCUGAGGUUUAUUUGCAAUUUCCCCGAACUGUCACACAUGGAGGAAUUCUCGAUGAGUGGGAAACUAAUGAACAUCUUCGGCCUCUUCGUCAUGGGCUGCAACCACGAGAUCAGCAUAGAGGCAUCAGAGGCGUUGCAUUAUCUGUUCAAAAUCCUUGUGCUUCAGAGAAGUGUGAAACAGAAGACAGAGACUAUCCUGAAGGAUUUGCAGAAGCAUUUCCAUGGAGCAUGGCUUGCCAGCCUGCGGAAUCUAACACUGUUCUUCAAGAAAUACCUGACCCCUGAGGAGAGAGCAGAUAUGAUCAUGGUGAGCAUGGAGGCCAUGACCAACACCAGCAGGCGUGACAUCUCUGCAGCUUCCAAGAUGUUAAAGAUGAUCCUGAAGUACACAAUUCCAGAGAUCAGGAAGGUGCCGGAAAUCAUCCAGUACAUUUAACACCACAUGAACAGCAUUACAGAAACCACAGCCCAAAAGACCAUUAAGAAGAUCCUGUAUCUGCUGUCCCAGCACUACACUGAUGAAGUUAUCCUGACACUAUUGAAGAUAGAAGAUCAGUCACAAAAGUAGGGGGUUUGCAAACCCUGGGAAAUCCUGGCAUCCUUCCCCAAAAGCUACGAAAUGAUCAUGGACUACCUGCUCCAGAGGCUGACUCCACACCGGAGACCGAAGGACCAGGAGCUCAGCCACAGAACACAGAUCUCACCAUUGAUUGCCACCAGGGCCAUCCAUGAGCUCCUGCUGGAACCCAGUCGGUGGAUGGAGGUGCAGUCCUUCUUCUUCUCCUUGUUCAUGGCCCUGCUGUUCCAGAUCUCCUUUUUGGUGGUUGAAGGGGGCGCUGAAAUAAGCCAGGAUCAGCAACACAUAGCUGAAUGGAUGGACCCUAUACGUUCUACCGUGGAGGCCCUGAAGACCUUGAUUCGAAGUUCUGGGUAUGGGCACUAUGUGUCUUCUAUUCAGAGACAUGGGGGCUGGGGGCUGCUCGUCAAUCCUGAAAGACACUAUGAUGGAGUCACUCUGCUGGCCAGGUCCCUGGUCAUCAAUAACUGUUGGCACAACCGCCCCCUCUUCAGCUCCAUCAUCAGGUUCCUCCAGGACCCAGACUGCAAGAAUCACUUAACGGCCCUUGUGUUCCUGACAGAGCUGCUUCAGUGCCCAGAUGUGGCAGCCUUAGUGGAUGACUUCACCACCCGCAUUCUGGCAAACUGGUUCAAGAGUGAGGAGCCAGCCACAGUGAAGCCAUUGCUGCAGACGCUAGAGGUCUUUGCGAAGCAUGAAAACAUGGUGAGGCGGCUCCGAAUCCUCCAGCCCUGUGUGCUGAACUGCUGCUACUCCUCGAACAGCGACAUCAUACUGGAGACUUUGCUGGUGGUGAAGAAUCUCCAGAGCCACCUCACCUGGCAGCACUCCUCCACCUUCACGCUGGUGCCCUUCUUUGAGCAGGUGUCAGAGCAUCUGCGGUUGGCAGCCUUUGAGAUCUAUGGGAGUCUCUUGGCCAAGGUCAAGAAAAGGGGCCUUGUCUUCCCCUUGAAGCACCAGAUCCUCAACUUGCUAGCCCCCCUGGUGCUCCACCUGAGGGAUGUGAAUACUGACGUGGCUCUGAUCUGCCGGUCUGCCCUCUGCCACACAGCUGCCGUGCUGGGCUGGUCAAAGCUGAAAGCAGUAUUUGCAGAGAAAGAUGUGUGGAACAUUCUUGGAGCCCUGCUGGAGCAGGAGACAAACGAAGCCCUCUGGUUUCUGAAGCAGUGUGUGGCUCUCUUCAAGAGCCCACAGGUUCCCAUCCGCUGGGCAGCUGUGUGGUUUGCCGGCCAGAUUAUCCAAACCCUAGACUUGGAAGAGAUCGAUGAAAUUGAGGAGGCAUACACAGCCGUACAGCACAUGCAGAGAGACUCCGACCCCACGGUCAGCUGCCUCACCACGCAGACUUUCCAUAUCCUGGAAGCCAAGAAGAAGCUGCUACUGGCCAAGCCCCCAACCUCCUGCUUCUGCAGGAGGAGGCCCCAAAGGCACUACUUCUGA